UGGGGAAUAUUGGACAAUGGGCGCAAGCCUGAUCCAGCCAUGCCGCGUGAGUGAUGAAGGCCCUAGGGUUGUAAAGCUCUUUCACCGGUGAAGAUAAUGACGGUAACCGGAGAAGAAGCCCCGGCUAACUUCGUGCCAGCAGCCGCAGUAAUACGAAGGGGGCUAGCGUUGUUCGGAUUUACUGGGCGUAAAGCGCACGUAGGCGGACUAUUAAGUCAGGGGUGAAAUCCCGGGGCUCAACCCCGGAACUGCCUUUGAUACUGGUAGUCUUGAGUUCGAGAGAGGUGGGUGGAAUUCCGAGUGUAGAGGUGAAAUUCGUAGAUAUUCGGAGGAACACCAGUGGCGAAGGCGGCUCACUGGCUCGAUACUGACGCUGAGGUGCGAAAGCGUGGGGAGCAAACAGG
This 404-nucleotide ribosomal RNA is filed under the name Actinomycetes bacterium. RNAcentral describes it as "Actinobacteria bacterium partial 16S ribosomal RNA". It matches the Rfam family "Bacterial small subunit ribosomal RNA", at positions 355 to 776 of the family's 1533-position model. Lineage: Bacteria; Bacillati; Actinomycetota; Actinomycetes. The record is from RNAcentral.